UGAAGAGAAAGCAUAAUGCAGAUACAGGCCAUGCAGGCAGUGUGCCUUGCUGGAGGAUGUCACAAUAUAGUCGGAGGCCUGUGCAACCUGAAAACACUCUUGUCAAGAGGCAGAGAAAUGCAGAUCUGUGACUCUACCCCAGAGAGGUGAUGGCUGAGGAGCCUAGAGUGGAUGCCCUUGUUGAACCACAGAGGGGGAAUACAGGUUGUAUCCAGAUAUGAAAGUAAGGUUGUAAUCAUUUCAAGGAGUCCUGAGUCACUAGUUUUUGACAACAGGGUAAAUAGUAACAAGGACAACAAACUUGGAGCAAGACUUCUUUAUGCGUACUGGCUUGUAAUGCUGGAAACAAAUCUGCAUGUACAAGCAAAAGGACGCAACAGAUCCCUAAUAAAAUGACAGCAUGGA
This is a long non-coding RNA of Mauremys reevesii (Reeves's turtle), 405 nucleotides long. RefSeq lists it as uncharacterized. The transcript is spliced from 2 exons. The record is from RefSeq and is a predicted model, not a curated record. Lineage: Eukaryota; Metazoa; Chordata; Testudines; Geoemydidae.